Non-coding RNA from Pelobates cultripes (western spadefoot toad), 802 nucleotides. The record is from the annotation of a GenBank genome assembly. Lineage: Eukaryota; Metazoa; Chordata; Amphibia; Anura; Pelobatidae.
CAGAUCGUCACGUUAAAACGCUGGAAAAUGAUAAAUGGGAGGCAGGGAGCAUGUGUGCAGAAAGGGAAGGAGCUGUCGGAGCACAGGUGUUUGGAUGCACCUCAGCUUUAUAAAUGAUCCCAACUGCUAAGCGCUAUCUAUAAUAAUAAUCGUCACCUGUCCCCAAUUCGGGCAAGAAGCAGAGCUUUCCUCUGGAAACGUAGCCUGAAUUCUGCUCACAUACAACAUACACAUCACAUGUUUCGAUGUGCAGUUCCAAAAAGCACCAUUAUCACAUUAAUCACUAUAAGAGAGGAAAGCUUUAACCCUUUCAGGGUCAGGAGAGAACAAACAUGCACAUGUGCAGAUUUUACAAUGUGCAAUUCGCUGAUUGGUUUUAUCCCAAUUUUUGUCCUGGUGUCGUUUACCUGCGUACCUGGGAAUCCUCAAUAUUUAACCCUCUGCUUCCAGGCAUGACAACAUCUGCGCCAUCAUACAUUUCCCAAAGAAUCAAUCUAUCUAUGUACACUGAGCAGCUCCAACAUUAAAGCCACCUUGCUAAUAUUAGUUAUACUGUUGCAUCGAGACUCCAUGGACUCCACAAGACCUCUGAAUGUGUACUGUGGUAUCUGGCACCAAGACAUUAGCAGCAGAUACUUUAAGUCCUGCAAGUUUCGAGGUGCACACUCCAUGGAUCAGAUUUGUUGUUCCAGCACACCUCACAGAUGCUCAAUCAGAUUAAGAUCUGGGGCAUUUGGAGGCCAAGGCAACAUCUUGGACUCUUUGUCAUGUUUCUUAAACCAUUCCUGAGCAAUGUUUGCAG